RNAcentral lists this long non-coding RNA (231 nucleotides) under Phaseolus vulgaris (common bean). RNAcentral describes it as "long non-coding RNA (PVUL_LNC004932)". Lineage: Eukaryota; Viridiplantae; Streptophyta; Magnoliopsida; Fabales; Fabaceae. The record is from RNAcentral.
GAACUUUUGGCAAAUUUACCAGAACUCCCUAGUCGCUUGCUCGUGCCUUGAGGUUACGUACAAGGGACUGGGAAAAGAUCUUUGCCUGAGGGAGAAAACAUACAGACAUUACACAGUUCUUUUCACCACCUUCAGAGUGCCAUACGCGGUGCUCAGAGACGGAGGUGCACAGUUUUGGUGUUUUUUUCUGGCUGACUUGAGCGUCGGAGUGCAAACGGCCGCUACGGCGCC